CUGGGCAUACCACCCUGAACACGCCCGAUCGCCUCUGAUCUUGGAAGCUAAGCAGGGUCGGGCCUGGUUAGUGCUUGGAUGGGAGACCACUCCACCCUCAAGUCUCAGC
RNAcentral lists this ribosomal RNA (109 nucleotides) under Ochotona princeps (American pika). Lineage: Eukaryota; Metazoa; Chordata; Mammalia; Lagomorpha; Ochotonidae. The record is from RNAcentral.